AGAGUUGAUCAUGGCUCAGGAUGAACGCUAGCUACAGGCUUAACACAUGCAAGUCGAGGGGAAACGGAACAUCGAAAGACUUGCUUUUGUAUGGGCGGUCGACCGGCGCACGGGUGAGUAACGCGUAUCCAACCUGCCCACCACUUGGGGAUAACCUUGCGAAAGUAAGACUAAUACCCAAUGAUAUCUCUAGAAGACAUCUGAAAGAGAUUAAAGAUUUAUCGGUGAUGGAUGGGGAUGCGUCUGAUUAGCUUGUUGGCGGGGUAACGGCCCACCAAGGCAACGAUCAGUAGGGGUUCUGAGAGGAAGGUCCCCCACAUUGGAACUGAGACACGGUCCAAACUCCUACGGGAGGCAGCA
Molecule: ribosomal RNA, 360 nt
Filed under: uncultured bacterium
Lineage: Bacteria
Description: bacterial SSU rRNA
Rfam family: Bacterial small subunit ribosomal RNA
Source: RNAcentral